AGAGUUUGAUCCUGGCUCAGAGUGAACGCUGGCGGCGUGGAUUAGGCAUGCAAGUCGAACGAUCCCGCAAGGGAUAGUGGCAAAAGGGUGAGUAACAAGUGAGCAAUCUGCCCUCGAGUGGGGAACAACCUUGGGAAACCGAGGCUAAAACCGCAUAAGACCACGGCUCGGCAUCGAGCUGUGAUAAAAAGUGGGGACCCUGCAAAAUUGCGCAAGCAAUUUUGCGAGGCCCAUUUCUUGAGGAUGAGCUCGCUUCCUAUCAGCUUGUUGGCGGGGUAAUGGCCCACCAAGGCUUUUGACGGGUAGCUGGUCUGAGAGGAUGGUCAGCCACAUUGGGACUGAGACACUGCCCAGACUCCUACGGGAGGCUGCAGUCGAGGAUAUUUAGCAAUGCCCGAAAGGGUGACUAUGCGACGCCGCGUGCGCGAUGAAGGUUUUCGGAUUGUAAAGCGCUGUCAGCCGGGAGGAAUCUCUGGAGGCUUAAUAAGCUUGCAGGGUGACAGUACCGGCAGAGGAAGCCACGGCUAACUCCGUGCCAGCAGCCGCGGUAAUACGGAGGUGGCAGGCGUUACUCGGAUUGAUUGGGUGUAAAGGGUGUGUAGGUGGUAGAUUAAGUCGAAUGUGAAAUCCCUUGGCUUAACCAAGGAACUGCAUUUGAAACUGAUCUGCUUGAGCGUCAGAGAGGAAGAUGGAAUUCACGGUGUAACAGUGAAAUGUGUAGAUAUCGUGAGGAACACCAGUGGCGAAGGCGAUCUUCUGGCUGACUGCUGACACUGAAACACGAGAGCAAGGGGAGCAAACAGGAUUAGAUACCCUGGUAGUCCUUGCCGUAAACGAUGUACACUAGGUGUCGGGCCCUCUGGGUUCGGUGCCGGAGUUAACACAUUAAGUUA
This 893-nucleotide ribosomal RNA is filed under the name uncultured bacterium. Its description in RNAcentral is "bacterial SSU rRNA". It matches the Rfam family "Bacterial small subunit ribosomal RNA", at positions 8 to 867 of the family's 1533-position model. The record is from RNAcentral.